AUUGAACGCUGGCGGCAUGCUUUACACAUGCAAGUCGAACGGUAACAGGCCGCAAGGUGCUGACGAGUGGCGAACGGGUGAGUAAUGCAUCGGAACGUGCCCAGUCGUGGGGGAUAACUACUCGAAAGAGUAGCUAAUACCGCAUACGAUCUAUGGAUGAAAGCGGGGGACCGUAAGGCCUCGCGCGAUUGGAGCGGCCGAUGUCAGAUUAGGUAGUUGGUGGGGUAAAGGCUCACCAAGCCAACGAUCUGUAGCUGGUCUGAGAGGACGACCAGCCACACUGGGACUGAGACACGGCCCAGACUCCUACGGGAGGCAGCAGUGGGGAAUUUUGGACAAUGGGCGCAAGCCUGAUCCAGCAAUGCCGCGUGCAGGAAGAAGGCCUUCGGGUUGUAAACUGCUUUUGUACGGAACGAAACGGCUCUGGUUAAUACCCUGGGCUAAUGACGGUACCGUAAGAAUAAGCACCGGCUAACUACGUG
This 482-nucleotide ribosomal RNA is filed under the name uncultured bacterium. Its description in RNAcentral is "partial 16S ribosomal RNA". It matches the Rfam family "Bacterial small subunit ribosomal RNA", at positions 30 to 507 of the family's 1533-position model. The record is from RNAcentral.